GAUGAACGCUGGCGGCGUGCCUAAUACAUGCAAGUCGAGCGAACAGACGAGGAGCUUGCUCCUCUGACGUUAGCGGCGGACGGGUGAGUAACACGUGGAUAACCUACCUAUAAGACUGGGAUAACUUCGGGAAACCGGAGCUAAUACCGGAUAAUAUAUUGAACCGCAUGGUUCAAUAGUGAAAGACGGUUUUGCUGUCACUUAUAGAUGGAUCCGCGCCGCAUUAGCUAGUUGGUAAGGUAACGGCUUACCAAGGCAACGAUGCGUAGCCGACCUGAGAGGGGGAUCGGCCACACUGGAACUGAGACACGGUCCAGACUCCUACGGGGGGCAGCAGUAGGGAAUCUUCCGCAAUGGGCGAAAGCCUGACGGGGCAACGCCGCGUGAGUGAUGAAGGUCUUCGGAUCGUAAAACUCUGUUAUUAGGGAAGAACAAAUGUGUAAGUAACUAUGCACGUCUUGACGGUACCUAAUCAGAAAGCCACGGCUAACUACGUG
RNAcentral lists this ribosomal RNA (497 nucleotides) under uncultured bacterium. RNAcentral's name for it is "partial 16S ribosomal RNA". It matches the Rfam family "Bacterial small subunit ribosomal RNA", at positions 28 to 507 of the family's 1533-position model. The record is from RNAcentral.